UUUCCGUAGGUGAACCUGCGGAAGGAUCAUUAUUGAAUAAACCUGAUGUGGUUGUCGCUGGCCCUUUCGGGAGCAUGUGCACACCCGUCGUCUUUAUCUUUCCACCUGUGCACCUUUUGUAGACCUGGAUGUAACACUUUCCGAGGCAACUCGGUCGGGAGGAAUGCUGUCAGCUUUCCUGGAAUGUCCAGGCCUAUGUUUUCAUAUACCCCAAAGAAUGUAACAGAAUGUAUUAUUGGGCCUUGUGCCUAUAAACUAUAUACAACUUUCAGCAACGGAUCUCUUGGCUCUC
Molecule: unclassified non-coding RNA, 292 nt
Filed under: plant metagenome
Description: partial contains small subunit ribosomal RNA, internal transcribed spacer 1, and 5.8S ribosomal RNA
Source: RNAcentral